GGGGGCGUAGGCUAAUUGGCAACGCUAUCUGACUCAGAAUCAGACUAUUGAAGGUUCGAAUCCUUCCGCCCCUACCA
RNAcentral lists this transfer RNA (77 nucleotides) under Desulfobacterales bacterium. Its description in RNAcentral is "tRNA-Leu". It matches the Rfam family "tRNA". From Rfam's summary of the family: Transfer RNA (tRNA) molecules are approximately 80 nucleotides in length. Their secondary structure includes four short double-helical elements and three loops (D, anti-codon, and T loops). Lineage: Bacteria; Pseudomonadati; Thermodesulfobacteriota; Desulfobacteria; Desulfobacterales. The record is from RNAcentral.